Molecule: ribosomal RNA, 639 nt
Filed under: uncultured bacterium
Lineage: Bacteria
Description: bacterial SSU rRNA
Rfam family: Bacterial small subunit ribosomal RNA
Source: RNAcentral
AACGCAUUAAGUUAUCCGCCUGGGGAGUACGGCCGCAAGGCUAAAACUCAAAUGAAUUGACGGGGACCCGCACAAGCGGUGGAGCAUGUGGUUUAAUUCGAUGCAACGCGAAAAACCUUACCUACAAUUGACAUACUGCGAAUUUUCUAGAGAUAGAUUAGUGCCUUCGGGAACGCAGAUACAGGUGCUGCAUGGCUGUCGUCAGCUCGUGUCGUGAGAUGUUGGGUUAAGUCCUAUAACGAGCGCAACCCUUACCCUUAUUUGCCAGCGGUUCGGCCGGGAACUAUAAGGGAACUGCCGGUAAUAAGCCGGAGGAAGGUGGGGACGACGUCAAGUCAUCAUGGCCCUUACAUGUAGGGCUACACACGUGCUACAAUGGCAUUUACAAUAGGAUGCAAGAUGGCGACAUCAAGCAAAUCCUAAAAAGAUGCCUCAGUUCGGAUUGCACUCUGCAACUCGAGUGCAUGAAGCUGGAAUUACUAGUAAUCGCGGAUCAGCGCGCCGCGGUGAAUACGUUCCCGGGUCUUGUACACACCGCCCGUCACACCAUGGGAGUUGGUUCUACCUUAAGGCAAAGCAUAAAACCUUUGACCACGGUAUAGUCAGCGACUGGGGUGAAGUCGUAACAAGGUAACCGUA